RNAcentral lists this unclassified non-coding RNA (245 nucleotides) under Hevea brasiliensis (rubber tree). Lineage: Eukaryota; Viridiplantae; Streptophyta; Magnoliopsida; Malpighiales; Euphorbiaceae. The record is from RNAcentral.
GAAAUGGAAUUGAAAUUGGAGUCUAAAGAGGAUGAAAAUUCAAGUGCAGAGUCAAAAAUGGGAUCCACUGAUCAGGAGAGAGACACAGCAUUGCAAGAGUUGGAUGCUACUAGAAAGCAGCUUGAGAAUUUGUCAAAACAGUAUGAGGAGCUAGAAGCAAAAUCAAAAGCAGAUAUUAAAUUUCUGGCUAAAGAAUUCAAAUCCCUCAAAAGUUCACAGGCAGAACUGAAGGAGAAACUUAGUCA